Molecule: ribosomal RNA, 393 nt
Filed under: Scenedesmus sp. CNW-N
Lineage: Eukaryota; Viridiplantae; Chlorophyta; Chlorophyceae; Sphaeropleales; Scenedesmaceae
Description: bacterial LSU rRNA
Rfam family: Bacterial large subunit ribosomal RNA
Source: RNAcentral
GAAAGACCCUAUGAAGCUUGACUGUAUCUUGGAAUUGGGUUCGGGCUUCUCUUGCGCAGACUAGGUGGGAGGCUAUGAAGAUUUCCUUCCGGGGAAGUUGGAGCCACCAGUGAGAGACCACUCUGGAGAGGCUAGAAUCCUAAUGGUGAUCCUUGAAUCAGGACACUUGACAGUUUCAGGUGGGCAGUUUUUCUGGGGCGGAAGCCUCAUAAAAGGUAACUGAGGCGCGCAAUGGUCCCCUCAGUCUGGACGGAAAUCAGACAUUGAGUGUAAAGGCAAAAGGGGGCUUGACUGCAAGACCUACAAGUCGAGCAGGAGCGAAAGCUGGCCUUAGUGAUCCGACGGUGCCGUGUGGAAGGGCCGUCGCUCAACGAAUAAAAGUUACUCUAGGGA